This is a long non-coding RNA of Coturnix japonica (Japanese quail), 324 nucleotides long. Lineage: Eukaryota; Metazoa; Chordata; Aves; Galliformes; Phasianidae. The record is from Ensembl.
AUGCAGAGGAGACCCCGGGGUUUCCCUAGUAACAGGUGGGAGCUGACGGCGCCGGGGCUUCCCCAGCGGCUCUCCCCGCACGCCGGCGGCGGGGCCGGGGCUGCCCAGCCUGGCAAGGUCGGGGCACGCAGCCUCCUCCCCCCUACGGGGCACGCUAGGCGAGGAGCUGCCCCCGGCCCGCAGCGGGAAGGACUGAUUCAUACUAUUCUGAAUAUUUUAAAGUUGGAAAACUCCUGUGGAUCAGCAAAGUAUUUGUGCCUGAAGAUUGAAAAGCUGCGUCCUUUGCACUGUGCAGACAGCACUCAGAACAGGCCCCCACAUUAG